Molecule: ribosomal RNA, 490 nt
Filed under: uncultured bacterium
Lineage: Bacteria
Description: SSU rRNA
Rfam family: Bacterial small subunit ribosomal RNA
Source: RNAcentral
AGGACGAACGCUGGCGGCGUGCUUAACACAUGCAAGUCGAGCGAGAGCCAGUUGAGGGGUAACCCUCGACUGGGGACAGCGGCGAACGGGUGCGUAACACGUGGGCAACCUGCCCCUGACACUGGGAUAACCCCGGGAAACCGGAGCUAAUACCGGAUACUCUCGGCCGAUCACAUGGCUGGCCGAGGAAAGGUCCGCCGGUCAGGGAUGGGCCCGCGGCCUAUCAGCUUGUUGGUGGGGUAACGGCCUACCAAGGCGACGACGGGUAGCUGGUCUGAGAGGACGACCAGCCACACUGGAACUGAGAUACGGUCCAGACUCCUACGGGAGGCAGCAGUGGGGGAAUAUUGCACAAUGGGCGAAAGCCUGAUGCAGCGACGCCGCGUGAGGGAUGAAGGCCUUCGGGUCGUAAACCUCUUUCGGCAGGGACGAAGCGAUCAGUGACGGUACCUGCAGAAGAAGCCCCGGCUAACUACGUGCCAGCAGCCGC